Molecule: ribosomal RNA, 1310 nt
Filed under: Bacillus sp. (in: firmicutes)
Lineage: Bacteria; Bacillati; Bacillota; Bacilli; Caryophanales; Bacillaceae
Description: bacterial SSU rRNA
Rfam family: Bacterial small subunit ribosomal RNA
Source: RNAcentral
GCGGGGGGGGCGUGUCAUAUACAUGCAGUCGAGCGGACAGAUGGGAGCUUGCUCCCUGAUGUUAGCGGCGGACGGGUGAGUAACACGUGGGUAACCUGCCUGUAAGACUGGGAUAACUCCGGGAAACCGGGGCUAAUACCGGAUGCUUGUUUGAACCGCAUGGUUCAGACAUAAAAGGUGGCUUCGGCUACCACUUACAGAUGGACCCGCGGCGCAUUAGCUAGUUGGUGAGGUAACGGCUCACCAAGGCGACGAUGCGUAGCCGACCUGAGAGGGUGAUCGGCCACACUGGGACUGAGACACGGCCCAGACUCCUACGGGAGGCAGCAGUAGGGAAUCUUCCGCAAUGGACGAAAGUCUGACGGAGCAACGCCGCGUGAGUGAUGAAGGUUUUCGGAUCGUAAAGCUCUGUUGUUAGGGAAGAACAAGUGCCGUUCAAAUAGGGCGGCACCUUGACGGUACCUAACCAGAAAGCCACGGCUAACUACGUGCCAGCAGCCGCGGUAAUACGUAGGUGGCAAGCGUUGUCCGGAAUUAUUGGGCGUAAAGGGCUCGCAGGCGGUUUCUUAAGUCUGAUGUGAAAGCCCCCGGCUCAACCGGGGAGGGUCAUUGGAAACUGGGGAACUUGAGUGCAGAAGAGGAGAGUGGAAUUCCACGUGUAGCGGUGAAAUGCGUAGAGAUGUGGAGGAACACCAGUGGCGAAGGCGACUCUCUGGUCUGUAACUGACGCUGAGGAGCGAAAGCGUGGGGAGCGAACAGGAUUAGAUACCCUGGUAGUCCACGCCGUAAACGAUGAGUGCUAAGUGUUAGGGGGUUUCCGCCCCUUAGUGCUGCAGCUAACGCAUUAAGCACUCCGCCUGGGGAGUACGGUCGCAAGACUGAAACUCAAAGGAAUUGACGGGGGCCCGCACAAGCGGUGGAGCAUGUGGUUUAAUUCGAAGCAACGCGAAGAACCUUACCAGGUCUUGACAUCCUCUGACAAUCCUAGAGAUAGGACGUCCCCUUCGGGGGCAGAAUGACAGGUGGUGCAUGGUUUUCGUCAGCUCGUGUCGGGAGAAGUUGGGUUAAGUCCCGCAACGAGGGGAACCCUUGAUCUUAGUUGCCAGCAUUCAGUUGGGCACUCUAAGGGGACUGCCGGUGACAAACCGGAGAAAGGGGGGAAAGACGCCAAACAACAGGCCCCUUAAAACUGGGGCAAACCAGUGGUCACAAUGGGCCGAAAAAAGGGGGGCCGAACCCGCCGGGUUAGGCCAAUUCCCAAAAUUUUUUUCACAUGUGGGAAGCGGGGCGGCAAAUUCACCCGGGUAAAA